RNAcentral lists this ribosomal RNA (274 nucleotides) under uncultured bacterium. RNAcentral's name for it is "partial 16S ribosomal RNA". It matches the Rfam family "Bacterial small subunit ribosomal RNA", at positions 523 to 796 of the family's 1533-position model. The record is from RNAcentral.
AUACGGAGGGUGCAAGCGUUAUUCGGAAUCACUGGGCGUAAAGGACGCGUAGGCGGGUUGGCAAGUCAGAUGUGAAAUCCUACAGCUUAACUGUAGAACUGCAUUUGAAACUGCUAACCUAGAGUAUGGGAGGGGGAGAUGGAAUUAGUGGUGUAGGGGUAAAAUCCGUAGAUAUCACUAGGAAUACCGAAGGCGAAGGCGAUCUCCUGGAACAUAACUGACGCUAAGGCGUGAAAGCGUGGGGAGCAAACAGGAUUAGAUACCCCAGUAGUCC